Molecule: ribosomal RNA, 406 nt
Filed under: uncultured bacterium
Lineage: Bacteria
Description: partial 16S ribosomal RNA
Rfam family: Bacterial small subunit ribosomal RNA
Source: RNAcentral
AUUGAACGCUGGCGGCGUGCUUUACACAUGCAAGUCGGACGAGUGGCGAACGGGUGAGUAACGCAUCGGAACGUACCGAGUAAUGGGGGAUAACUGUCCGAAAGGACAGCUAAUACCGACUAAUAUUGGAGCGGCCGUUGUUUGAGUAGCUGGUUGGCGGGGUAAAGGCCCACCAAGGCGACGAUCACUAGCGGGUCUGAGAGGAUGAUCCGCCACACUGGGACUGGGACACGGCCCAGACUCCUACGGGAGGCAGCAGUGGGGAAUUUUGGACAAGGGGCGCAAGCCUGAACCAGCCAUGCCGCGUGUCUGAAGAAGGCCUUCGGGUUGUAAAGGACUUUUGUCAGGGAAGCGGUACCUGACGAAUAAGCACCGGCUAACUACGUGCCAGCAGCCGCGGUAAUUC